CCCUUAGACGUUCUGGGCCGCACGCGCGCUACACUGACCAGUGCAACAAGCAUCCGUCCUUGGCCGACAGGCUCGGGCAAUCUUUGAACGCUGGUCGUGAUGGGGAUAGACUUUUGCAAUUUUUGGUCUUCAACGAGGAAUUCCUAGUAAACGCAAGUCAUCAACUUGCAUUGAUUACGUCCCUGCCCUUUGUACACACCGCCCGUCGCACCUACCUAUUGAAUGGUCCGGUGAAGCCUCCGGAUUGGCGCGCACCUCGGUGCCGCCGAGAAGUUGGCUAAACCUUACCAUUUAGAGGAAGGUGAAGUCGUAACA
RNAcentral lists this ribosomal RNA (315 nucleotides) under uncultured eukaryote. Its description in RNAcentral is "partial 18S ribosomal RNA". It matches the Rfam family "Eukaryotic small subunit ribosomal RNA", at positions 1470 to 1796 of the family's 1831-position model. The record is from RNAcentral.